ACCUAGCGAUUAUUGCAUAUUUGUCUGGUGCCCAGUUACCAGCUCAUUCUAUCUGGCCCCUUUAUAGCUGAGGAGAUCGAGUAAGUCCUGCCAGGUUUGGUAAAAGAUCUGCCUCUCCUUUUCAGCUUUCUAAAAAGAAGGAAGACAAAAGACGUUGAUGAAACCUGAGUCUGUGCCUAUGAUGCUCAAUAAGAAACAGUGGGACGAAUGAAUGACAAUCAAGAAUAUACCUCUAAUUUCCAACUACAGGGAAGAAAGAAAACUUUGAAAGGCCAGUGACGCGGGGAUAUACAGUAUGCCCUGUAUACUCUACAUGGAUAGAUUGCUUUUAAAAUUUACCUUAGAAGGCUCUCAAGGGCUGCUGUGUGUGGAAGCUUAUAAUGUCUCUCAACACAGAGCUUGGAGCUGGAAAUCCCAACGUUGCACAAAAAGAACGCGGGACAAGAUGAAUGCUAUAACUUAGUAAUUUCUAGGUCGCUUGCAAAUGAUUACCGUUAAUAAUUACAAGCUUUUAUUGGGCUCUUUCUAUUUUCA
Long non-coding RNA from Suricata suricatta (meerkat), 534 nucleotides. RefSeq lists it as uncharacterized. Lineage: Eukaryota; Metazoa; Chordata; Mammalia; Carnivora; Herpestidae. The record is from RefSeq and is a predicted model, not a curated record. The transcript is spliced from 2 exons.